This 379-nucleotide ribosomal RNA is filed under the name uncultured eukaryote. RNAcentral's name for it is "partial 18S ribosomal RNA". It matches the Rfam family "Eukaryotic small subunit ribosomal RNA", at positions 592 to 976 of the family's 1831-position model. The record is from RNAcentral.
CAAUAGCGUAUAUUUAAGUUGUUGCAGUUAAAAAGCUCGUAGUUGGAUUUCGGAUGGGACUUGCCGGUCCGUCGUUUCGAUGUGCACUGGCCAGUCCUAUCUUGUUGUCGGGGACUAGCUCCUGGGCUUCACUGUCCGGGACUAGGAGCUGACGAGGUUACUUUGAGUAAAUUAGAGUGUUCAAAGCAAGCCUACGCUCUGAAUACAUUAGCAUGGAAUAACACGAUAGGACUCUGGCUUAUCUUGUUGGUCUGUGAGACCAGAGUAAUGAUUAAGAGGGACAGUCGGGGGCAUUCGUAUUUCAUUGUCAGAGGUGAAAUUCUUGGAUUUAUGAAAGACGAACUUCUGCGAAAGCAUUCGUCAAGGAUGUUUUCAUUAA